GCGCAGCAGGCGCGAAACCUUCGCAAUGCGGGAAACCGCGACGAGGGGACUCCCAGUGCCUACGCUCAGCGUAGGCUGUUCCCGAGCCUAGAAAGCUCGGGGAGUAAGGGCUGGGUAAGACGGGUGCCAGCCGCCGCGGUAAUACCCGCAGCCCGAGUGGUGGCCACUAUUAUUGGGCCUAAAGCGUCCGUAGCCGGCCCGGUAAAUGCCUGGGUAAAUCGUGAGGCCUAACCUCACGAAUUCCGGGUAGACUGCCGGGCUAGGGACCGGAGGAGGGAGAGGGUACUCCAGGGGUAGGGGUGAAAUCCUGUAAUCCCCUGGAGGACCACCGGUGGCGAAGGCGCUCUCCUAGGACGGUCCGACGGUGAGGGACGAAAGCCAGGGGAGCGAACCGGGAUUAGAUACCCCGGUAGU
Molecule: ribosomal RNA, 414 nt
Filed under: uncultured microorganism
Description: bacterial SSU rRNA
Rfam family: Archaeal small subunit ribosomal RNA
Source: RNAcentral